Molecule: long non-coding RNA, 1690 nt
Filed under: Capra hircus (goat)
Lineage: Eukaryota; Metazoa; Chordata; Mammalia; Artiodactyla; Bovidae
Description: lncRNA (ENSCHIG00010004142.1)
Source: RNAcentral
ACAUGCUUUAAUGUGGAGGGAGCAUAAGUUGUUAUUAUGAUAAUUUUAAUAACACUUUUCAUGUACUACAUUUUGGUUGACAUUUAAUCCUAAUUGAGAAAAGUCUAAAAUUAAUCUUUGUAAGAAACAAGACCAGAGUGGCUAAUCAGGUUUGGAAGUGGGACUAAUUGUACCAUAAUCAGAUUGAUGGACUGUUAAAUAUCUGAUGUGAAAGCCAUGUCAUGAAAUGAUAAGGAAGAAUCUGUGCAGAAGUCCCUCUGAAUUUUCCCCUUGUCCUUUAUUUUGCAGUUUGUUCAAAAGGCUUAUUACCUCGGCUUCAAAGCACAGAUCCAAGAUCUCUACCAGCUGUUUACUUUUAUUUUUUAAUUAUGUCAGCUUUCCUAAGAGAGGUGCGAGUCUCUGCCUUGAAAAUGCUAGAUGAGAGUCUGGCAAAGAUGCAAGCGGAGAAUCCCAGCAAACAUGUGGAGUCUCCAAUGCUGAUCUUGCUGGCUGACCUUGACUCCCUCGUUUCCAGGUUCCCUGCACAGACUGCUAGGCCCACCUUCCACACUGCCCUUCUGGCCUCACACUCAUGCCUUAACCCCAAGGACAGGUUGACAAAGGAACCUCAUCGGCAAACAUCUCUGUGGGAGAGGGGAUGACCCAAAAUGACCAGGGAGACUUCAGCUCACACCGGAAGCUCUGGCUGGGGAAUUGGAGACCAUCAGUUCUGGCGAAACCCUCCUCACCAGUGCAAUGUCCAGGCGCCUAUUUUCUUCAUGGGAUUUAAUAAUGUCACUGGGGUCUUUAAACAGUGUGUUUGCCACAGUCAGUGGAACACAUAUCUAUUAUAAAAAAUAAAAAUCACAGAAGCAGAUAAAGUAAAAAGUGAAAGUUUUCAUUCACCUUCCCUUACCCCCAUCCUGGACUUCAAUAUAGACACUGCUGACAUUGGAAAUGAGUCCUUUCAGGCCUUUUCCUCUGCAGUAUGAGUAAAGAUCAUUUAGGCCUUGAGUGCUGAGUCACUGUAUCCACAGAUGUGGAAUUUAGAAGCUUAGACCACCAGAAUAUGCCAUUGCGUUAUCAAUCCCAAGGCCUCUCGAUGUUGGAGGCUCAGUUCUUUUCCUUUUUGCACUUCUCUAUCCUAUUUAGAAAUGUAAAGUCGUAAUGAAUAUGUCUAAAGAGAAUCUUUGCUCACCCGGAAUUGCAUACACAUCAAAAUUCAUAGUAUUUAAUGCUUCCCAUUCCUCUUCCACCAUCCCAUCUGGGUCUGCGGAGCCCUCGGUUGAAAUGAACACUUAGCUAGACUUGUUCAAGGAAGCCUCCAAGCUUCUAGUUUCAGCCUGCCUUAUAUGUGACAUGUGUACUUCUGGGUGCCUAGAAAACAAUCCUAACUUAUGUAUGUUAUUAAAAGGCAGCAAUCUUUCCCACGCUCCAAAUCCCUAAAACUUCUUGUGCAAUAACUGUGUUGAGAACUUCCUGGUUUGGUUGCUUCAGGGUGGAAGUGACAAUAACCUGGGUUCUGCACCUUUGGUGGGUCACGCACACAUGCAGCCUACAUUGAAUGAAGGUCCCCCAGGAGUGGCCUUUUUUCCUUAUCAAGAGAUGGACUUAGCAUUUCCUCUUUUCCAAGGACCAUACACGCUGUGUCUCUCAGUUCUAGUAUCUUAGCUGAAAAGAGAAGCUUGUUAGACUUGGGGUGACCAUCCUA